UGGGGAAUAUUGGACAAUGGGCGAAAGCCUGAUCCAGCCAUGCCGCGUGUGUGAAGAAGGUCCUCGGAUUGUAAAGCACUUUAAGUUGGGAGGAAGGGCAGUAAGCGAAUACCUUGCUGUUUUGACGUUACCGACAGAAUAAGCACCGGCUAACUCUGUGCCAGCAGCCGCGGUAAUACAGAGGGUGCAAGCGUUAAUCGGAUUUACUGGGCGUAAAGCGUGCGUAGGCGGCUAAUUGAGUCGGAUGUGAAAUCCCCGAGCUUAACUUGGGAAUUGCAUUCGAUACUGGUUAGCUAGAGUGUGGGAGAGGAUGGUAGAAUUCCAGGUGUAGCGGUGAAAUGCGUAGAGAUCUGGAGGAAUACCGAUGGCGAAGGCAGCCAUCUGGCCUAACACUGACGCUGAGGUACGAAAGCAUGGGGAGCAAACAGG
This 429-nucleotide ribosomal RNA is filed under the name Pseudomonadota bacterium. RNAcentral's name for it is "Proteobacteria bacterium partial 16S ribosomal RNA". It matches the Rfam family "Bacterial small subunit ribosomal RNA", at positions 355 to 776 of the family's 1533-position model. The record is from RNAcentral. Lineage: Bacteria; Pseudomonadati; Pseudomonadota.